Small nucleolar RNA from Papaver somniferum (opium poppy), 87 nucleotides. NCBI's taxonomy places the organism in Eukaryota, Viridiplantae, Streptophyta, Magnoliopsida, Ranunculales, Papaveraceae. The record is from RefSeq and is a predicted model, not a curated record.
CAAGGGCAUAUGUGAAAUUUCAUUUGUAAAUGGGUAGUUUGCGUCUGAAUAUUCAUUGAUGUUAACACCUUGUAGUAUUGGUCCUAU